CUGAAAUUAUAGAUAAACUAUUCCCUG
This 27-nucleotide transfer RNA is filed under the name Hippopotamus amphibius (hippopotamus). Its description in RNAcentral is "partial tRNA-Pro". The record is from RNAcentral. Lineage: Eukaryota; Metazoa; Chordata; Mammalia; Artiodactyla; Hippopotamidae.